Molecule: ribosomal RNA, 250 nt
Filed under: uncultured bacterium
Lineage: Bacteria
Description: partial 16S ribosomal RNA
Rfam family: Bacterial small subunit ribosomal RNA
Source: RNAcentral
GCAAGUCGAGGGGUAUAUAGAAAGCUUGCUUUUUAUAGAGACCGGCAAACGGGUGCGUAACACGUACGCAACCUACCUUGAAGUGGAGGAUAGCCUUGGGAAACUAAGAUUAAUACUCCAUAAUAUCAUAAUGCGGCAUCGUAUAAUGAUUAAAGAAUUUCGCUUCAAGAUGGGCGUGCGCCUGAUUAGAUAGUUGGUGAGGUAAUGGCUCACCAAGUCAACGAUCAGUAGCUGAUGUGAGAGCAUGAUC